UACGAAGGGGGCUAGCGUUGCUCGGAAUCACUGGGCGUAAAGCGCACGUAGGCGGAUCUUUAAGUCAGGGGUGAAAUCCUGGAGCUCAACUCCAGAACUGCCUUUGAUACUGGGGAUCUCGAGUCCGGGAGAGGUGAGUGGAACUGCGAGUGUAGAGGUGAAAUUCGUAGAUAUUCGCAAGAACACCAGUGGCGAAGGCGGCUUACUGGUCCGGUUCUGACGCUGAGGCGCGAAAAGCGUGGGGAGCAAACAGG
This 254-nucleotide ribosomal RNA is filed under the name uncultured bacterium. RNAcentral describes it as "partial 16S ribosomal RNA". It matches the Rfam family "Bacterial small subunit ribosomal RNA", at positions 524 to 776 of the family's 1533-position model. The record is from RNAcentral.